UAAGUGUUUCGAAACAAGGGUUUUUCACCUAUUUUCCAUUUUCCCUCUAUUUUCAUUAAUCUUUGGUUUUCCCGGCCAUCCUAAAAAGACCUAUCUACCCUUGCCUUAUCUAAUUGUAUCGAUCAGGGAGGGGAUCGAUCCCUUUCUCAUCCCAGAAACCAUAUCGUUAGGAGGCCGCUCCCUGGAGGCCUGCUCCCGUCGCCCCCAUCCUAGCGAGCGGCAGCCCCAUCUCCGGCAAACGGCGGCGCCCAUCUCCGGCAAGCGGCGGCACCCGCGUGCUCCCUGACCAGGCCCCGGCAAGGUCCCGCGAGGGCUGGGCGUGCGUAGGAGGAGCGCCGCGGAUGUGGCCGCCCUCCCGCCCUACCUAGGGUUUCGGGUGCCGGCAAGAACGGGCCGAAUCCACCGGCCUGAGGGAGAGCCAUGAUCCCCUUCGAAGUUUCUGCUACGUAAGAUCUAAAAUCCCUAAGCUUCUGCUGUUUUUUUUAGGAUUGAAGUGGGGAGAUGUCGUGUGUCUUGCAUAUGCUCACUGAUGCAUAUGCUUUUGUUUUGUUCCGUUACUCGGUAGGGUCCAUCCGGAUGCAGCAUUUGUACUAGGCGUUCAUGUAGGUCAGUUCUCAGUGGUCCUUGAUGGUGCCUCUGUUAUGGAAAUUCCACGCAAGUACUAUGAAUGGGUUGUGGACUGUAGAAAUUACAAUUUGGAGAGGCUACAGGAAGACUUGGCAAGCCGGGUGAAAUGGGGCCCUAGGCAGCAAGCAAAGAUUAGCCACUUUGAUAUGAGCAGAGGAAGGGAAAGAAAGGUGGAGGAUGAUACAAUUUUGUCUGCUGCUUUCUCUGAGCUGAAGGAUGAGAAGAAGCUAUUUUUAUUUGUUGAUGUGGUUGAGAAGGAAACUGAAUCAGCGGUGACAUUAGUGGAAUCAAUCAAUGAUUUAGUUGGUACACAUGGUAGUGGAGGUGUACAAUAUAUUGCUAAUGUUGGGCCAGCUAUAGAAUCAAGCAAUGUGGGCACUAGUGGUCUGGUUGGGGCAGCUAUAGAAUCAAGUGCAGAGGAAGGCAUAGCACAUGUUACCUGAUUUUUGUAGCCAAACUGCUUUAAGCUUGGAAGUCCAAACAAGUCCUUGUGCCAACAUACAGAGAACUACUAUCACCACAAGUCCUGGUCCUAUGACUCGAAGGCAGCUGGCAUUAACCAUGGAAGGUGAAGCCACUACUGCUACGACCUCUCCUACUACUACUGCGUCCUCUCCUACUACUGCAGUCACCCCCUUCGGAGGAAGCAAUUAGCUGUGAAGAAGAAGAUCACUCCAAGGAAGGCAAAAAAAUGAUGUUCUUCAUGCAAAACUGUUAUGUUUAGCUAAACUUGUCUUGCUGUUUUGUUGGGAAACUAUGAACCCCAAUACUAUGUUUCAUGGCUGCUUUUGUGGAACUGGAUGAUGUUGUGACCAUGUGUUUAUGUGCUAUUUAGGAGGCCCCUAAUGCUAUCUGAUGCUACAUAUAUUGCAA
Long non-coding RNA from Panicum virgatum (switchgrass), 1500 nucleotides. RefSeq lists it as uncharacterized. The record is from RefSeq and is a predicted model, not a curated record. NCBI's taxonomy places the organism in Eukaryota, Viridiplantae, Streptophyta, Magnoliopsida, Poales, Poaceae. The transcript has 2 exons.